RNAcentral lists this ribosomal RNA (471 nucleotides) under uncultured soil bacterium. Its description in RNAcentral is "bacterial SSU rRNA". It matches the Rfam family "Bacterial small subunit ribosomal RNA", at positions 26 to 518 of the family's 1533-position model. The record is from RNAcentral.
AGAACGAACGUUGGCGGCGUGGAUUAGGCAUGCAAGUCGCGCGAAUCCCAGCAAUGGGGGAAGCGGCGUAAGGGGCAGUUGGGCGUGGGUAACCUACCCCGGGGCCUGGGAUAGCCCGUCGAGAGACGGGGUAAUACCGGGCGACGUGGUUCGGUGGCAUCGUCGGAUCACCAAAGGUCCGCCGCCCCGGGAGGGGCCCACGUGGUAUUAGCUAGUUGGUGGGGUAACGGCCCACCAAGGCGUAGAUGCCUAGCGGGUGUGAGAGCACGACCCGCGCCACUGGCACUGAGACACUGGCCAGACACCUACGGGUGGCUGCAGUCGAGGAUCUUCGGCAAUGGGGGCAACCCUGACCGAGCGACGCCGCGUGGAUGACGAAGGCCUUCGGGUUGUAAAAUCCUGUCGAGGGGAGGAAAGGCAACUUGACCUAGUCCCUGGAGAAGCGUCGGCUAAGUUCGCGCCAGCAGCCGC